This 253-nucleotide ribosomal RNA is filed under the name uncultured bacterium. RNAcentral describes it as "partial 16S ribosomal RNA". It matches the Rfam family "Bacterial small subunit ribosomal RNA", at positions 524 to 776 of the family's 1533-position model. The record is from RNAcentral.
UACGUAGGGUGCAAGCGUUAUCCGGAUUCACUGGGUUUAAAGGGUGCGUAGGAGGGCAGGUAAGUCAGUGGUGAAAUCUCCGAGCUUAACUUGGAAACUGCCGUUGAUACUAUCUGUCUUGAAUACCGUGGAGGUGAGCGGAAUAUGUCAUGUAGCGGUGAAAUGCUUAGAUAUGACAUAGAACACCAAUUGCGAAGGCAGCUCACUACACGAGCAUUGACUCUGAGGCACGAAAGCGUGGGGAUCAAACAGG